AACGAACGCUGGCGGCAUGCCUAACACAUGCAAGUCGAACGAUACCUUCGGGUCUAGUGGCGCACGGGUGCGUAACGCGUGGGAACCUGCCCUUAGGUUCGGAAUAACUCCCCGAAAGGGGUGCUAAUACCGGAUAAUGUCUUCGGACCAAAGAUUUAUCGCCCUUGGAUGGGCCCGCGUUGGAUUAGCUAGUUGGUAGGGUAAAAGCCUACCAAGGCGACGAUCCAUAGCUGGUCUGAGAGGAUGAUCAGCCACACUGGGACUGAGACACGGCCCAGACUCCUACGGGAGGAAGCAGUGGGGAAUAUUGGACAAUGGGCGAAAGACUGAUCCAGCAAUGCCGCGUGAGUGAUGAAGGACUUAGGGUUGUAAAGCUCUUUUACACGGGAUGAUAAUGACAGUACCGGGAGAAUAAGCUCCGGCUAACUCCGUG
Molecule: ribosomal RNA, 433 nt
Filed under: uncultured bacterium
Lineage: Bacteria
Description: partial 16S ribosomal RNA
Rfam family: Bacterial small subunit ribosomal RNA
Source: RNAcentral